CUGGUAAAGGCGAUGAAGGACGUACUAGACUGCGAUAAGCUACGGGGAGCUGUCAAGAAGCUUUGAUCCGUAGAUUUCCGAAUGGGGCAACCCAAUGUAUAGAGAUAUACAUUACCUAUAUAGGAGCGAACGAGGGGAAUUGAAACAUCUUAGUACCCUCAGGAAAAGAAAUCAAUAGAGAUUGCGUCAGUAGCGGCGAGCGAAAGCGUAAGAGGGCAAACCCAGUGCUUGCACUGGGGGUUGUAGGACUGCAAUGUGCAAGAGGUGAGUUUAGCAGAACAUUCUGGAAAGUAUAGCCAUAGAGGGUGAUAGUCCCGUAUGCGAAAAACAAACCUUAGCUAGCAGUAUCCUGAGUAGGGCGGGACACGAGAAAUCCUGUCUGAAGCUGGGUCGACCACGAUCCAACCCUAAAUACUAAUACCAGAUCGAUAGUGCACAAGUACCGUGAGGGAAAGGUGAAAAGAACUGAGGUGAUCAGAGUGAAAUAGAACCUGAAACCAUUUGCUUACAAUCAUUCAGAGCACUAUGUAGCAAUACAGUGUGAUGGACUGCCUUUUGCAUAAUGAGCCUGCGAGUUGUGGUGUCUGGCAAGGUUAAGCAAACGCGAAGCCGUAGCGAAAGCGAGUCUGAAUAGGGCGCUUAGUCAGAUGCUGCAGACCCGAAACGAAGUGAUCUAUCCAUGAGCAAGUUGAAGCUAGUGUAAGAACUAGUGGAGGACUGAACCCAUAGGCGUUGAAAAGCCCCGGGAUGACUUGUGGAUAGGGGUGAAAGGCCAAUCAAACUUCGUGAUAGCUGGUUCUCUCCGAAAUAUAUUUAGGUAUAGCGUUGUGUCGUAAUAUAAGGGGGUAGAGCACUGAAUGGGCUAGGGCAUACACCAAUGUACCAAACCCUAUCAAACUCCGAAUACCUUAUAUGUAAUCACAGCAGUCAGGCGGCGAGUGAUAAAAUCCGUCGUCAAGAGGGAAACAACCCAGACUACCAGCUAAGGUCCCUAAAUCUUACUUAAGUGGAAAACGAUGUGAAGUUACUUAAACAACCAGGAGGUUGGCUUAGAAGCAGCCAUCCUUUAAAGAAAGCGUAAUAGCUCACUGGUCUAGUGAUUUUGCGCGGAAAAUAUAACGGGGCUAAAGUA
Molecule: ribosomal RNA, 1132 nt
Filed under: Campylobacter coli
Lineage: Bacteria; Pseudomonadati; Campylobacterota; Epsilonproteobacteria; Campylobacterales; Campylobacteraceae
Description: partial 23S ribosomal RNA
Rfam family: Bacterial large subunit ribosomal RNA
Source: RNAcentral